CAGCAGCCGCGGUAAUACAGAGGGUGCAAGCGUUAAUCGGAAUUACUGGGCGUAAAGCGCGCGUAGGUGGUUUGUUAAGUUGGAUGUGAAAGCCCCGGGCUCAACCUGGGAACUGCAUCCAAAACUGGCAAGCUAGAGUACGGUAGAGGGUGGUGGAAUUUCCUGUGUAGCGGUGAAAUGCGUAGAUAUAGGAAGGAACACCAGUGGCGAAGGCGACCACCUGGACUGAUACUGACACUGAGGUGCGAAAGCGUGGGGAGCAAACAGGAUUAGAUACCCCAGUAGUCCCUGUCUCUUAUAC
Molecule: ribosomal RNA, 301 nt
Filed under: uncultured bacterium
Lineage: Bacteria
Description: partial 16S ribosomal RNA
Rfam family: Bacterial small subunit ribosomal RNA
Source: RNAcentral